CCUACGGGUGACAGCAGUGAGGAAUAUUGGUCAAUGGCCGCAGGGCUGAACCAGCCAAGUCGCGUGAGGGAUGACGGUCCUAUGGAUUGUAAACCUCUUUUGUCAGGGAGCAAAGGGCGCCACGUGUGGCGCUUUGCGAGUACCUGAAGAAAAAGCAUCGGCUAACUCCGUGCCAGCAGCCGCGGUACUACGGAGGAUGCGAGCGUUAUCCGGAUUUAUUGGGUUUAAAGGGUGCGCAGGCGGAAUGUCAAGUCAGCGGUAAAAUUUCGGGGCUCAACCCCGUCGUGCCGUUGAAACUGGCGUUCUUGAGUGAGCGAGAAGUAUGCGGAAUGCGUGGUGUAGCGGUGAAAUGCAUAGAUAUCACGCAGAACUCCGAUUGCGAAGGCAGCAUACCGGCGCUCAACUGACGCUCAUGCACGAAAGCGUGGGUAUCGAACAGGAUUAGAUACCCCAGUAGUC
Molecule: ribosomal RNA, 459 nt
Filed under: uncultured bacterium
Lineage: Bacteria
Description: partial 16S ribosomal RNA
Rfam family: Bacterial small subunit ribosomal RNA
Source: RNAcentral